AGUAAUUAUUGCAAAAUGAGUUUGAAUAUAAAUCUAACUGUCGACUUCAAAUAGUAAUAUAUCAAAAUCACUUUAUUCAUGUAGGUCACGGACGGUCAAAUGACACUUAUGAUUGUCAAAAAAAAAAUUUGUAUUUGAAUUUACCACCACGUCGCAAAGGCUAAUGUGAAGAAAUGAGAAGAUACUCAAAGCCACACAAUAGUGGAAAUUUAUACGUAAAAUACUUGAAAACAUUUGUUUCAUCAAAAUUGAUUCCUCAUGAUUAUUUUUUGAUUUCAAUUAACUUCUUCUAAAACUCUUCAAUUAUAUAUUUAAUAAAAUUUUCAAUUUAACUUCGGAAACAAAUGGCGCUCUGACAAGGAAGUGUUAAAAACUCUUUCAGUCAAAAUGAAUAUUUCGUGGCUAUCGAAUUAAACUGAGCUGUAACGCUCCGCUGCGUAACUCUUGCUCAGUUGCUGUUUUCGGCAGUUGAAGCUUGAGCCCUAGCUCCAACCGAAGUAGCCUGGAUAUGAGAAGGAGCCAGAGUAUCGCCGUAAGUCCCGUUUCACAACA
Leptidea sinapis is the source of this 552-nucleotide long non-coding RNA. RefSeq lists it as uncharacterized. The transcript is spliced from 3 exons. NCBI's taxonomy places the organism in Eukaryota, Metazoa, Arthropoda, Insecta, Lepidoptera, Pieridae. The record is from RefSeq and is a predicted model, not a curated record.